CAGUAGCCGCGGUAAUACGGAGGGGGCUAGCGUUGUUCGGAAUUACUGGGCGUAAAGCGCACGUAGGCGGCUUGGUAAGUUAGAGGUGAAAGCCCGGAGCUCAACUCCGGAAUUGCCUUUAAGACUGCCGAGCUAGCAGGUGAGAGAGGUAAGUGGAAUUCCGAGUGUAGAGGCGAAAUUCGUAGAUAUUCGGAAGAACACCAGUGGCGAAGGCGGCUUACUGGCUCAUACUGGACGCUGAGGUGCGAAAGCGUGGGGAGCAAACAGGAUUAGAUACCCCUGUAGUCCCUGUCUCUUAUAU
This 301-nucleotide ribosomal RNA is filed under the name uncultured bacterium. RNAcentral describes it as "partial 16S ribosomal RNA". It matches the Rfam family "Bacterial small subunit ribosomal RNA", at positions 509 to 809 of the family's 1533-position model. The record is from RNAcentral.